AUUGAACGCUGGCGGCAGGCCUAACACAUGCAAGUCGAGCGGCAGCGGGAAGUAGCUUGCUACUUUGCCGGCGAGCGGCGGACGGGUGAGUAAUGUCUGGGAAACUGCCUGAUGGAGGGGGAUAACUACUGGAAACGGUAGCUAAUACCGCGUGAUGUCGCAAGACCAAAGAGGGGGACCUUAGGGCCUCUCGCCAUCAGAUGUGCCCAGAUGGGAUUAGCUAGUAGGUGGGGUAAGAGCUCACCUAGGCGACGAUCCCUAGCUGGUCUGAGAGGAUGACCAGCCACACUGGGACUGAGACACGGCCCAGACUCCUACGGGAGGCAGCAGUGGGGAAUAUUGGGCAAUGGGCGAAAGCCUGACCCAGCGACGCCGCGUGGAGGAAGAAGGUUUUCGGAUUGUAAACUCCUGUCUUCGGGGAAGAUAAUGACGGUACCCGAGGAGGAAGCCACGGCUAACUACGUGCCAGCCGCCGC
Molecule: ribosomal RNA, 476 nt
Filed under: uncultured bacterium
Lineage: Bacteria
Description: bacterial SSU rRNA
Rfam family: Bacterial small subunit ribosomal RNA
Source: RNAcentral